AUCCAUCUGACGAGUCCAAAGUGAGACGAGACGCGCGUCCUGGAU
This is a non-coding RNA of Schistosoma mansoni, 45 nucleotides long. NCBI's taxonomy places the organism in Eukaryota, Metazoa, Platyhelminthes, Trematoda, Strigeidida, Schistosomatidae. The record is from Rfam.